GCGAAGGUGGGAGAGAAGAGGUUGCAGGCGGCGCUGGACUAUGCUUGUGGGGAGGGCGGGGCGGACUGUAAGGAAAUACAGGAAGGGAGAGCGUGUUAUGACCCAAAUACCCUUGAGGCACACGCCAGCUACGCCUUCAACAGCUAUUAUCAGAAGAAGGGGAGGGUGGUUGGUACGUGCGAUUUUGAGGGUGCUGGUUUCGUGGUCUCCCAGGCUCCGGUGGUUGGCAAGUGCGUCCUGUCUACAACUGGGACAUGAAUGGACAGAAGAUAACAUGGGGAGUAGAGAUGAAGAAAACAUGGGAGCAUGGAAUGAAUGCGAGUGCUGCAGCUAUCCUUGACUUUAGUGGGGGUUCACAUGGGAGUCUUUACUUUUUUUUUGUUGUUGUUGCUACUGUUGUCUUUUAUCUGGGGUUAGAUAUUUGUGAGUAAGUUGACAUGUGAGCUGAGCUGGGUGGAGAAUCAGCUUGGAUCUUGUGUUGGGUCUUUUUUCGCACUCGGUUGGUCCUUUUGGCUGGAAGAGUGCUACUAAUGUUUGUAUGUACAUGG
This 548-nucleotide unclassified non-coding RNA is filed under the name Hevea brasiliensis (rubber tree). The record is from RNAcentral. Lineage: Eukaryota; Viridiplantae; Streptophyta; Magnoliopsida; Malpighiales; Euphorbiaceae.